ACUCCCCAGGCGGUCUACUUAUCGCGUUAGCUGCGCCACUAAAGCCUCAAAGGCCCCAACGGCUAGUAGACAUCGUUUACGGCAUGGACUACCAGGGUAUCUAAUCCUGUUUGCUCCCCAUGCUUUCGCACCUCAGUGUCAGUAUUAGGCCAGAUGGCUGCCUUCGCCAUCGGUAUUCCUCCAGAUCUCUACGCAUUUCACCGCUACACCUGGAAUUCUACCAUCCUCUCCCAUACUCUAGCCAACCAGUAUCGAAUGCAAUUCCCAAGUUAAGCUCGGGGAUUUCACAUUUGACUUAAUUGGCCACCUACGCGCGCUUUACGCCCAGUAAAUCCGAUUAACGCUUGCACCCUCUGUAUUACCGCGGCUGCUGGCACAGAGUUAGCCGGUGCUUAUUCUGCGAGUAACGUCCACUAUCCAAGAGUAUUAAUCUCGGUAGCCUCCUCCUCGCUUAAAGUGCUUUACAACCAAAAGGCCUUCUUCACACACGCGGCAUGGCUGGAUCAGGGUUCCCCCCAUUGUCCAAUAUUCCCCACUGCUGCCUCCCGUAGGAGUCUGGGCCGUGUCUCAGU
Molecule: ribosomal RNA, 572 nt
Filed under: uncultured Acinetobacter sp.
Lineage: Bacteria; Pseudomonadati; Pseudomonadota; Gammaproteobacteria; Moraxellales; Moraxellaceae
Description: partial 16S ribosomal RNA
Source: RNAcentral